RNAcentral lists this ribosomal RNA (551 nucleotides) under uncultured Planctomycetota bacterium. Its description in RNAcentral is "bacterial SSU rRNA". It matches the Rfam family "Bacterial small subunit ribosomal RNA", at positions 365 to 909 of the family's 1533-position model. Lineage: Bacteria; Pseudomonadati; Planctomycetota. The record is from RNAcentral.
UCCGCAAUGGGCGAAAGCCUGACGGAGCGACGCCGCGUGCGGGAUGAAGGCCUUCGGGUUGUAAACCGCUGUCAGUUGAGAGGAAAUCUAUGGGGGUUCUCCCCCAUAGUUGACCUAUCUUCAGAGGAAGGACGGGCUAAGUUCGUGCCAGCAGCCGCGGUAAGACGAACCGUCCAAACGUUAUUCGGAAUCACUGGGCUUAAAGGGUGCGUAGACAAAAAAAACAAGUUGGGUGUGAAAUCCCUCGGCUCAACCGAGGAACUGCGCUCAAAACUGCCAAGCUAGAGGAAGAUAGAGGUGAGCGGAACUAAUGGUGGAGCGGUGAAAUGCGUUGAUAUCAUUAGGAACACCUGUGGCGAAAGCGGCUCACUGGGUCUUUUCUGACGCUGAGGCACGAAAGCUAGGGUAGCGAACGGGAUUAGAUACCCCGGUAGUCCUAGCUGUAAACGAUGAGCACUAGGUUGGAGGCUCCUCCAUAGGUUUCCGACCGAAGCGAAAGUGUUAAGUGCUCCGCCUGGGGAGUAUGGUCGCAAGGCUGAAACUCAAAGGAA